GAAUCUGUCUUAACUGUGCUUUUAUCCCAGACUGGUUCAUCAUUACAUUAGGGACAAAAAGGUUUAUGUAUGGAUCUAUGACCCAGUUCACUUUAAAACAUUUGUCAUGGGAUUAAUUCUUGUGAUUGCAGUAAUAGCGGCCACCCUCUUCCCCCUUUGGCCAGCAGAAAUGAGAGUAGGUGUUUAUUACCUCAGUGUGGGUGCAGGCUGUUUUGUAGCCAGUAUUCUUCUCCUUGCUGUUGCUCGAUGCAUUCUAUUUCUCAUCAUUUGGCUCAUAACUGGAGGAAGGCACCACUUUUGGUUCUUGCCAAAUCUGACUGCUGAUGUGGGCUUCAUUGACUCCUUCAGGCCUCUGUACACACAUGAAUAC
RNAcentral lists this small RNA (370 nucleotides) under Pan troglodytes (chimpanzee). RNAcentral describes it as "processed transcript". The record is from RNAcentral. Lineage: Eukaryota; Metazoa; Chordata; Mammalia; Primates; Hominidae.